RNAcentral lists this ribosomal RNA (463 nucleotides) under uncultured bacterium. RNAcentral describes it as "partial 16S ribosomal RNA". It matches the Rfam family "Bacterial small subunit ribosomal RNA", at positions 28 to 506 of the family's 1533-position model. The record is from RNAcentral.
GACGAACGCUGGCGGCGUGCUUAACACAUGCAAGUCGAACGGAAAGGCCCAGCUUGCUGGGUGCUCGAGUGGCGAACGGGUGAGUAACACGUGGGUGAUCUGCCCCUAACUUCGGGAUAAGCUUGGGAAACUGGGUCUAAUACCGGAUAGGACAAUCGUUUAGUGUCGGUUGUGGAAAGUUUUUUCGGUUAGGGAUGAGCCCGCGGCCUAUCAGCUUGUUGGUGGGGUAAUGGCCUACCAAGGCGUCGACGGGUAGCCGGCCUGAGAGGGUGGACGGCCACAUUGGGACUGAGAUACGGCCCAGACGCCUACGGGAGGCAGCAGUGGGGAAUAUUGCACAAUGGGCGCAAGCCUGAUGCAGCGACGCCGCGUGGGGGAUGACGGCCUUCGGGUUGUAAACCUCUUUCGACAGGGACGAAGCUUUGGUGACGGUACCUGUAUAAGAAGCACCGGCUAACUACGU